GCUUGCACCGAGAUUCAACAUGGAACGAGUGGCGGACGGGUGAGUAACACGUGGGUAACCUGCCCUUAAGUGGGGGAUAACAUUUGGAAACAGAUGCUAAUACCGCAUAGAUCCAAGAACCGCAUGGUUCUUGGCUGAAAGAUGGCGUAAGCUAUCGCUUUUGGAUGGACCCGCGGCGUAUUAGCUAGUUGGUGAGGUAAUGGCUCACCAAGGCGAUGAUACGUAGCCGAACUGAGAGGUUGAUCGGCCACAUUGGGACUGAGACACGGCCCAAACUCCUACGGGAGGCAGCAGUAGGGAAUCUUCCACAAUGGACGCAAGUCUGAUGGAGCAACGCCGCGUGAGUGAAGAAGGCUUUCGGGUCGUAAAACUCUGUUGUUGGAGAAGAAUGGUCGGCAGAGUAACUGUUGUCGGCGUGACGGUAUCCAACCAGAAAGCCACGGCUAACUACGUGCCAGCAGCCGCGGUAAUACGUAGGUGGCAAGCGUUAUCCGGAUUUAUUGGGCGUAAAGCGAGCGCAGGCGGUUUUUUAAGUCUGAUGUGAAAGCCCUCGGCUUAACCGAGGAAGCGCAUCGGAAACUGGGAAACUUGAGUGCAGAAGAGGACAGUGGAACUCCAUGUGUAGCGGUGAAAUGCGUAGAUAUAUGGAAGAACACCAGUGGCGAAGGCGGCUGUCUGGUCUGUAACUGACGCUGA
This 696-nucleotide ribosomal RNA is filed under the name Lacticaseibacillus paracasei. RNAcentral describes it as "bacterial SSU rRNA". It matches the Rfam family "Bacterial small subunit ribosomal RNA", at positions 66 to 749 of the family's 1533-position model. The record is from RNAcentral. Lineage: Bacteria; Bacillati; Bacillota; Bacilli; Lactobacillales; Lactobacillaceae.